AUUGAACGCUGGCGGCAGGCCUAACACAUGCAAGUCGAACGAGUGGCGGACGGGUGAGUAAUGUCUGGGAAACUGCCUGAUGGAGGGGGAUAACUACUGGAAACGGUAGCUAAUACCGCAUACCAUCGGAUGUGCCCAGAUGGGAUUAGCUAGUGGGUGGGGUAAAGGCUCACCUAGGCGACGAUCCCUAGCUGGUCUGAGAGGAUGACGGGCCACUCUGGAACUGAGACACGGUCCAGCCUCCAACGGGAGGCAGCAGUGGGGAAUAUUGCACAAUGGGCACAAGCCUAAUGCAGCAAUGCCGCGUGUAUGAAGAAGGCCUUCGGUUUGUAAGGUCCUUUCAGCGGGAAGGCGUUACCCGCAGAAGAAGCACCGGCUAACUCCGUGCCGGCAGCCGCGGUAAUAC
RNAcentral lists this ribosomal RNA (406 nucleotides) under uncultured bacterium. Its description in RNAcentral is "partial 16S ribosomal RNA". It matches the Rfam family "Bacterial small subunit ribosomal RNA", at positions 30 to 526 of the family's 1533-position model. The record is from RNAcentral.